GCUUCUCGCUGACGAGCGGCGGACGGGUGAGUAAUACUUAGGAAUCUACCUAGUAGUGGGGGAUAGCACGGGGAAACUCGUAUUAAUACCGCAUACGACCUACGGGAGAAAGGGGGCAGUUUACUGCUCUCGCUAUUAGAUGAGCCUAAGUCGGAUUAGCUAGAUGGUGGGGUAAAGGCCUACCAUGGCGACGAUCUGUAGCUGGUCUGAGAGGAUGAUCAGCCACACCGGGACUGAGACACGGCCCGGACUCCUACGGGAGGCAGCAGUGGGGAAUAUUGGACAAUGGGGGAAACCCUGAUCCAGCCAUGCCGCGUGUGUGAAGAAGGCCUUUUGGUUGUAAAGCACUUUAAGCAGUGAAGAAGACUCCAUGGUUAAUACCCAUGGACGAUGACAUUAGCUGCAGAAUAAGCACCGGCUAACUCUGUGCCAGCAGCCGCGGUAAUACAGAGGGUGCAAGCGUUAAUCGGAAUUACUGGGCGUAAAGGGAGCGUAGGUGGCUCUAUAAGUCAGAUGUGAAAUCCCCGGGCUUAACCUGGGAACUGCAUCUGAAACUGUAGAGCUAGAGUAUGUGAGAGGAAGGUAGAAUUCCAGGUGUAGCGGUGAAAUGCGUAGAGAUCUGGAGGAAUACCGAUGGCGAAGGCAGCCUUCUGGCAUAAUACUGACACUGAGGCUCGAAAGCGUGGGUAGCAAACAGGAUUAGAUACCCUGGUAGUCCACGCCGUAAACGAUGUCUACUAGUCGUUGGGUCCCUUGAGGACUUAGUGACGCAGCUAACGCAAUAAGUAGACCGCCUGGGGAGUACGGCCGCAAGGUUAAAACUCAAAUGAAUUGACGGGGGCCCGCACAAGCGGUGGAGCAUGUGGUUUAAUUCGAUGCAACGCGAAGAACCUUACCUGGUCUUGACAUAUCUAGAAUCCUGCAGAGAUGCGGGAGUGCCUUCGGGAAUUAGAAUACAGGUGCUGCAUGGCUGUCGUCAGCUCGUGUCGUGAGAUGUUGGGUUAAGUCCCGCAACGAGCGCAACCCUUGUCCUUAGUUACCAGCGGGUUAAGCCGGGAACUCUAAGGAUACUGCCAGUGACAAACUGGAGGAAGGCGGGGACGACGUCAAGUCAUCAUGGCCCUUACGACCAGGGCUACACACGUGCUACAAUGGUAGGUACAGAGGGCAGCUACACAGCGAUGUGAUGCGAAUCUCAAAAAGCCUAUCGUAGUCCAGAUUGGAGUCUGCAACUCGACUCCAUGAAGUAGGAAUCGCUAGUAAUCGCGGAUCAGAAUGCCGCGGUGAAUACGUUCCCGGGCCUUGUACACACCGCCCGUCACACCAUGGGAGUUGAUUGCACCAGAA
This 1347-nucleotide ribosomal RNA is filed under the name Psychrobacter sp. 09BSWS-7a. RNAcentral describes it as "bacterial SSU rRNA". It matches the Rfam family "Bacterial small subunit ribosomal RNA", at positions 79 to 1425 of the family's 1533-position model. The record is from RNAcentral. Lineage: Bacteria; Pseudomonadati; Pseudomonadota; Gammaproteobacteria; Moraxellales; Moraxellaceae.